GGCUGUGGUUCAGUGGUAGAGCGCUCGCCUAGCAUGUGCGAGGCCCUGGGUUCGAUCUCAGCACCA
This 66-nucleotide transfer RNA is filed under the name Marmota monax (woodchuck). RNAcentral's name for it is "tRNA.Ala". The record is from RNAcentral. Lineage: Eukaryota; Metazoa; Chordata; Mammalia; Rodentia; Sciuridae.